This 497-nucleotide ribosomal RNA is filed under the name uncultured bacterium. Its description in RNAcentral is "partial 16S ribosomal RNA". It matches the Rfam family "Bacterial small subunit ribosomal RNA", at positions 28 to 507 of the family's 1533-position model. The record is from RNAcentral.
GAUGAACGCUGGCGGCGUGCCUAAUACAUGCAAGUCGAGCGAACAGACUAGGAGCUUGCUCCUCUGACGUUAGCGGCGUAAGGGUUAGUAACCCGUGGAUAACCUACCUAUUAGCCUGGGAUAACUUCGGGUAACCGGCGCUAAUACCGUUUAAUAUCUUGAACUGCAUGUUUAAAUAGUGAAAGACGGUUUUGCUGUCACUUCUUGUUAGAUCCGCGCAGCAUUAGCUAGUUGGUAAGGUAACGGUUUACCAAGGCAACGAUGCGUAGCCGACCGGAGAGGAGGAUCGGCCACACUGGAACUGAACCAAGAUACAGACUCCAACGGGAGGCAGCAGAAGGGAAUGUACCGCAAUGGGAGAAAGGCUAGAGUGGCAACGCCGCGUGAGGGAUGAAGGGCAUCGGAUCGUAAAACUAUGUUAUUAGGGAAGAACAAAUAUGUAAGUAACUAGGCACGUCUUGACGGUACCUAAUCAGAAAGCAACGGCUAACUACGUG